Molecule: ribosomal RNA, 301 nt
Filed under: uncultured bacterium
Lineage: Bacteria
Description: partial 16S ribosomal RNA
Rfam family: Bacterial small subunit ribosomal RNA
Source: RNAcentral
CAGCCGCCGCGGUAAAACGUAGGGUGCAAGCGUUAUCCGGAAUUAUUGGGCGUAAAGAGCUCGUAGGCGGUUUGUCGCGUCUGCUGUGAAAACUGGAGGCUCAACCUCCAGCCUGCAGUGGGUACGGGCAGACUAGAGUGCGGUAGGGGAGAUUGGAAUUCCUGGUGUAGCGGUGGAAUGCGCAGAUAUCAGGAGGAACACCGAUGGCGAAGGCAGAUCUCUGGGCCGUAACUGACGCUGAGGAGCGAAAGCAUGGGGAGCGAACAGGAUUAGAGACCCCCGUAGUCCCUGUCUCUUAUAC